This 1889-nucleotide long non-coding RNA is filed under the name Gopherus agassizii (Agassiz's desert tortoise). Its description in RNAcentral is "lncRNA (ENSGAGG00000004137.1)". Lineage: Eukaryota; Metazoa; Chordata; Testudines; Testudinidae. The record is from RNAcentral.
UAUAUAAUAGCUAAAUAAUAUUUUAUUAUUAUUACCAUGCAGGCCUCCUGUAAAUUCUACAAUAAGACAAGGAGCAUCUUCCCUCCCUUCCCCUUUCUUUCCCCACGCCCCCAUAAACAAUCCCUCCUUUCCCCCAUCCCUGCUCACAUGAAGCUUAUCACCAUGGAAGCCUCAUUCAGUUUGCAUCUCACUGAACUUGGGCUUCACUGCUGCAGCAUGUUGUAGUGAAGUACAAGGUGGUUACACAGCAAGAGAGUGAAAGCCUGGAUGAAGCCUUCGGAGGACACUUGCUAACUUCAUUGCACAGGGUACCUGUGGAAAUCCUGCAGCUGAGAGAUCUGCAGCUGGACCCAUCAUACUUCACCAUCUGGGCUAUUGAAUUUAAUUAAAGAAAAAUGACCCAGAGACUCUUAGGAAAACUUUAUUCUCUGGAACAAUAUUCACGCAAAAGACUGGCCAAACAUGCAAAGGUUGAAAGCCCAGGGCUUGGGAAAUUGCAGCUAAAGCCAUUUGUGACAACCCCACUGACAUUUGAAUUUAAAGAGGAUUAUGAUAUACCCAGUGCUAGAACAAUAAAUAUUUCCAGGUUUAAACCUGCGCCGCAGUUUUCAGAAGAUGAACAGCUCUUCAGACAUCAGCAAAUAAGUCCUAGCAGGCUUAAAUCUGUGAUCCCAAGACUGGCGGCUAGAAAGAGUCACUCUGGCAAACCAACUGCAAGGCCAUUUAGUGCUCCAGAUACUUUGCAAGCUAAAGCAUGUCAUCAGAAAGAGAAUCUGUACACGUUAAAGGAUUUUAUUUCAUUAAAACUAAACCAAAAAGUAAAACCUGCUAGUCUUAGACCAAAAGUUCACAGAAGACCAAAGUGGAACACGGAGGUUGAAAAUGUUCUGAAGUUGGAUGUCCUCUGUCAGCAAGAUAGCCAAGCCCAUUUACCGUCUACUCUUGACCAUAUGGACACUUCUCAUUGGUGCCCUCCUAAAAGUGCCAGUAGUCAGAAUGAAGAGUCAUUUCUAACAGCUUUGAUGGGGGACAAGAUAGCGCAAUACAGUAUUUAUGGGGAAGCUGGCAAAUUCGUUGCUCAACAGCUAGAGAGAGACAAUAAAAUCAGAGUCGGUGUAAAUGGCCAUUUGCCAUUAGAUGGUCUGAAAGAAAGAAAUGAAGCUCCCCUGAAAGAAGAUGUUUUUAAUCUUGAAGAAACAGAAAGGAAGAAUAAUUUUCACCUGUCUAAAUCUGCUUCAGAAGAAAAGAAAAACCUCAUCUCCUUGACUAUUGAGGAUGAAAUGGAGAAACCAAAUGCCAAAAUAAUCAAUGUGGGCUCUCCGAAAGCAAAAUCUCCCAGGCCGGUGGUGAAAGUGAGUGAAACAUACCCCAUCAUUUAUGCUGAAGAAGGAUAUAUGCAAAACUUUAUUCUGAAGAAGUGGUUGCAUUUACAUGGAGAUAAAGUGUCUGGUGACUCAGAAAAGGAAAAUGAUGAGGCACUUAAAAAAAGGAAGAAAAGACUUUCAGCAGGAUAGAUUGUCUCCAUAUGGGAAGUGUUUGGAACUGAAAUGAACGCAGGAGAUUUUCAUCAUGCUACUUAGAAGAUAUCUUACCAGCCGAUGCUAAAUUUACACAUUGUGCUCAGACCUGAUAGUUUGAACUUCUGAAUAGACAUGCAAUUUCAUUCCUAUAACUCUUUCAGUAAGCAACAUGUAAGAAUCCCACACUUCCAAUCAUUAGGUGCCUAAAUGGUGAUGCAAGUCCAUGGGCCCUUGGCUUUAUCUCCUUACAUUGCUAGAGUACAUGCAACAUAGCUGAGCACCUAAUUUGGUUUCUGAACUGAGCUAAUGUGUUUGUACAUGUAAACCCUGUAUUUGUAAUGCUUUGCCUAUAAAUGAAAUUACUGAGGA